UACAGAGGGUGCGAGCGUUAAUCGGAAUUACUGGGCGUAAAGCGCGCGUAGGCGGCUUUGCAAGUCGGGUGUGAAAUCCCCAGGCUUAACCUGGGAACUGCAUUCGAGACUGCAUUGCUAGAGUAUGGGAGAGGGAAGUGGAAUUUCCGGUGUAGCGGUGAAAUUCGUAGAUAUUCGGAAGAACACCAGUGGCGAAGGCGACUCACUGGACACGUAUUGACGCUGAGGUGCGAAAGCGUGGGGAGCAAACAGG
This 253-nucleotide ribosomal RNA is filed under the name uncultured bacterium. RNAcentral's name for it is "partial 16S ribosomal RNA". It matches the Rfam family "Bacterial small subunit ribosomal RNA", at positions 524 to 776 of the family's 1533-position model. The record is from RNAcentral.